This 492-nucleotide ribosomal RNA is filed under the name uncultured bacterium. RNAcentral's name for it is "partial 16S ribosomal RNA". It matches the Rfam family "Bacterial small subunit ribosomal RNA", at positions 29 to 507 of the family's 1533-position model. The record is from RNAcentral.
AACGAACGCUGGCGGCAUGCCUAACACAUGCAAGUCGAACGACACCUCAGUAAGUGCUUGCUCACAGGUGCGUCGCGUGGCGGACGCGGGAGGUAUAUUCCGGAUUAUUCUCUUUCGUGGGGGCUAACGCAGGGUAAUUUCCGCUGAUAAAGCAUAUAUCCUACGGGUAUAGGCACGCGAUCUUUUAACCUUGUGCGAUUGUAUGAGCCGAGGUCGGAUGAGCUCGUUGGCGGGGUAAAGGCGCACCAAGGCGACGAUCCGUAGCUGGCCUGAGAGGAGGAGCAGCCACACUGGAACUGAGACACGGUCCAGACACCGACGGGAGGCAGCAGUGGGGAAUAUUGGACGAUGGGCGCAAGCCUGAUCCAGCCAUACCGCGUGGGUGAAGAAGGCCUUCGGGUUGGAAAGCCCUUUUGUUGGGAAAGAAAAGCAGCAGGUUAAUACCCCGCUGUUCUGACGGUGCCCAAAGAAUAAGCACCGGCUAACUUCGUG